GUCGGGAAUGUCCUCAUACAGUAAUUCAAUGUACUCAUCCAUGUCAUUGAUAUUGGCAACUUCAUCAAUCUCCAUGCCUUCAAAUGGUGGUGGAUCUUUUGGCUUACUGGAUUUCUCUUUCUUUUCUUUUCCUGCUGACGCAUCUCUGCGGUUCUGUAGAUAGUAUAACAGCUGUUCUACUUCUGCAAGUUUGGAGGGGUGAAUGAGCUUGCAUUCUUCAACCACCUUUCGAGCCAGGGAAGCAAUGUCUGUAUUUGCAUUGAGACUCUUUAGCCGAAUGAUUUUCUGACACUCUUUGCGCUCCCCCAGCAUAGGGUCUCCUGUCUCCCCCAGAAUUGUUGCUUCCACUUCAUAAUGGACAAUGAGGGCUUUCUCUGACGGAUGCACAUCUAUGUUGCCUCCUUUUACCUUCCUCUUGAGGUACCGGGCGUCCUCGCCCUGCAUGGCGCCGGGGACGGCUCGGGCAGGGCGCGGCCCCGCAGCGGUGCUGUUAC
RNAcentral lists this long non-coding RNA (494 nucleotides) under Gallus gallus (chicken). Lineage: Eukaryota; Metazoa; Chordata; Aves; Galliformes; Phasianidae. The record is from RNAcentral.